Molecule: ribosomal RNA, 253 nt
Filed under: uncultured bacterium
Lineage: Bacteria
Description: partial 16S ribosomal RNA
Rfam family: Bacterial small subunit ribosomal RNA
Source: RNAcentral
UACAGAGGGUGCAAGCAUUAAUCGGAUUUAUUGGGCGUAAAGAGCGCGCAGGCGGGCUUUUAAGUCAGAUGUGAAAUCCCGGGGCUCAACCCCGGAACAGCAUUUGAAACUGAGAGUCUUGAGGGUAGUCGGAGAAAGUGGAAUUCCACGUGUAGCGGUGAAAUGCGUAGAUAUGUGGAAGAACACCGGUGGCGAAGGCGACUUUCUAGAUUAUUCCUGACGCUGAGGCGCGAAAGCAAGGGGAUCAAACAGG